UACGUAGGGUGCGAGCGUUAAUCGGAAUUACUGGGCGUAAAGCGUGCGCAGGCGGUUCGUUGUGUCGGUGGUGAAAUCCCCGGGCUUAACCUGGGAAUGGCCAUGGAAACUGGCGAACUGGAGUGCGGCAGAGGGGGGUGGAAUUCCGCGUGUAGCAGUGAAAUGCGUAGAGAUGCGGAGGAACACCGAUGGCGAAGGCAGGUCUCUGGGCUGACACUGACGCUCAUGCACGAAAGCGUGGGGAGCGAACAGG
This 253-nucleotide ribosomal RNA is filed under the name uncultured bacterium. RNAcentral describes it as "partial 16S ribosomal RNA". It matches the Rfam family "Bacterial small subunit ribosomal RNA", at positions 524 to 776 of the family's 1533-position model. The record is from RNAcentral.